Molecule: long non-coding RNA, 2488 nt
Filed under: Hordeum vulgare
Lineage: Eukaryota; Viridiplantae; Streptophyta; Magnoliopsida; Poales; Poaceae
Description: long non-coding RNA (HVUL_LNC015513)
Source: RNAcentral
CCUAACCUAGUUAUCCUCAGCCAUCCCAUUUAAUCAUGGGUCCAAAUGCCCUCAAAAACUAAUCCAUUGCAAUAUAUAUAGUCCACCCCUAGUCUAUUUUGGACAACUCUAAAAAUUAUCCCCUUGUCCCAUCAGGGCGCCGUUACCCCGGUUCUUCCUUGAUUUCCCCAUCGGACAAAUCCCACGGCCUUGCUAGAUCCUCGAUGCCCGACCACCAUCGACCGCCUCCGCAAUCCCCCGUGAGCCUAUUCCACUUCAUCAGUCGAGCGCUGUCAUCGGCAGACCUCCACUGCUGCGCUCCUGCAGCCCGCGUACCCCGUGCCUCCCCUGGUCUGCGCCCUUGCUUCGCCAUCGGAAGGAGCAUCCUCGCCAUGGCUCUCGCUCGUGCGUCCACAAGCCACCCCAGUGCCCGAGCUCCCUCCGCGUGGCUCGCGCUGGCCCCCUCACCCCUGCAUCGACCUUGCCGACCGAAUCCAUAGGACCUCCUCGCCGCAGCCGUGCUGCCCCACCGCCAUCGCCCCACCUCAUUGCAUCCUCAUGAUCCCGUCGCCCCACAGCCCCGUCCUCGCGCCCCACCACCAUUCGCCGUCCACCACUGGUCGUCACACACCUGGGGCCUGCUGUAGUUGUCGUCGCCGGUUGCCAUGCCCUGCCGCACUGCCGAUGCUCAUCCCCGCCUCAUUGCCAGACACCCUGGUCGCUCGCCUGGCCUAGCCCAGCGCCAGCGCCUCCAGGCCGGCCCACAUGCGUCCCCAACCGCGGCCGAGCUAGGUAGCUCCCCCAAGACGGCCUACCUCUCCAUCGACUGGGCGUGGAUCCCACGAGGUGAGCACUCCAGCAACCAUAUGGAUCACGCUCUACGCGAGUUUUCUUUCCGGCGGUCAGUUGUGUGUAUCCUAGUCCAGGAGAUUCGGUUCAGUGUUUUUUGCUAUAGCAAUUUUAUUAAUUUCUAGUGAAUUGCGGAUUUACACAAAAACCCUUCCACUCAUGCAUAUAAUAACUUUACAACCGUGCAUCGGAUUAAAAUAAAUUAAACAUGUAAAUUGCUUAGAAAUUUUGUGUAGUUUCAUAAUAUCCAACUUUCAACCAUGUUUAAAAUGUUUAACUUUCUGUUUUUAUUUAAUUUGCGCAAAUGCCAUGUUUAAAUGAUUUAAUUGAUAAUGAAUUAACCGUAGCUCCGAUUAAUAUGUUCCACACAUGUAACUUGGCGAGAAAAAUAUGUAGAAUAACAUGGUGACAUUUUUUUUACUGUUUAACAACUCUGAAAUUGUGCUAUAGGCAGAACAUUGUCGAAUCUUAAUUUGCUUAUGGAGACUUUCCGAAAUUGUUAUUCGUUGUUCCGGCCUUAUUUAAACUUGCGUAUAAUUUCAUGUAAUCUCAUAUUAUCUUGUGGCAUCCAUCAUUAACAUGUUGUGGCUGUCAUUUGUAUGCAUUUUGCAUCCAUGUCAUAUUAUCUUGUCAUGAUCACAUCUUUUAAAUCCUAGCUCCGUUUUAAAUGAUUUAUGUAUGUAAAUCGACUAAAAUGAUGUGUAGAAUCUCAUGGUCCACUUUAUUUUUCUGUUUAAUAAAUAUAAAAUGUGUUUAGCACAGAUCUGGACUAAUUUCAAAAUUAACAUAUGGGGUCGCUUUGGAUAUACUAUAAGUUGUUUCUGUCCUCAUUUAAAAUGCCUAGAUGAUGUUGUUCUUCAUGCUUCACCUCUUGCCAUGUGUAACAAUAUUUAAUAUUGUCUUGUACCUAAACGGGAGUGAACUAAGUAAUUUAAUGUGGAGUUUUGUCAAUAUGCAACUCGUUGCAUAUUGAGCUUCAUUUAAUGUGUAGUAUUAAUUGUUGUGCUUCACCAUGCCUUGCAUAAUUGAAAUGGACAUGCAUCAUAUUUGAUUGUGCAUCAUGUCAUGCAUAUGUUGUGGUUAAUAUUAUGUGUUGAAUGUUGUUUCCAGUUUUCUUCUUCUCAAUAGAGUUCCGCAAGCGUGUCGGAGUGUGAGGAUCCAUUCAGCUACGUUGGUUCGUCUGCUUCACGGAUUCGCUCUUCUUCCAAGCAGGAUCACAUGCAAGUAGAUCAUUUUCCUAGAUACCAUUACUAUCAUUGCCAUGCUAGUUGUAUCGUUUCUUUCACUAUGUCUCGCUGCCUACCACUUAAUGUGAGCCUCCCAACUUUGCCAUGAAAAGCCUCUAACCCCUCCAGUUCCCAGCAAACAACUGUUUGGCUAUGUUACUGCUUGCUCAGCCUUCUUAUAGCGUUACUAGUUGCAGGUGCAGUUACUUCCAUGUGAAAACAUGGUUUCCUUGUUAUAUCACCAUAUUAUUGAUAUUUAAUUUAAUGCACCUAUAUACCUGGUAAAAGGCGGAAGGUUUGGCCUUUUGGCUGGGUGUUUUGUUCCGCUUUUGCCACCCUAGUUUUGGCAACCGGUGUUGUCACACUCUGUUUUCACUACCACUUUUUGUGUAAUUCAAAAAUCCGAGUUUUUUUUUUCAAAACUAGUGUUGUGA